Molecule: ribosomal RNA, 165 nt
Filed under: uncultured bacterium
Lineage: Bacteria
Description: partial 16S rRNA
Rfam family: Bacterial small subunit ribosomal RNA
Source: RNAcentral
UAGGGAAUCUUCCACAAUGGACGAAAGUCUGAUGGAGCAACGCCGCGUGAGUGAAGAAGGUUUUCGGAUCGUAAAGCUCUGUUGUUGGUGAAGAAGGAUAGAGGCAGUAACUGGUCUUUAUUUGACGGUAAUCAACCAGAAAGUCACGGCUAACUACGUGCCAGG